GAUGAACGCUGGCGGUAUGCUUAACACAUGCAAGUCGAACGGACUCUUCGGAGUUAGUGGCGGACGGGUGAGUAACGCGUGAGAAUCUGGCUUUGGGUUCGGGACAACCACUGGAAACGGUGGCUAAUACCGGAUGUGCCGAGAGGUAAAAGAGAAAUUGCCUGAAGAUGAGCUCGCGUCUGAUUAGCUAGUUGGUGAGGUAAAGGCUCACCAGGGCAGCGAUCAGUAGCUGGUCUGAGAGGAUGACCAGCCACACUGGGACUGAGACACGGCCCAGACUCCUACGGGAGGCAGCAGUGGGGAAUUUUCCGCAAUGGGCGAAAGCCUGACGGAGCAAUACCGCGUGAGGGAAGAAGGCUCUUGGGUUGUAAACCUCUUUUCUUAGGGAAGAACAAAAUGACGGUACCUAAGGAAUCAGCAUCGGCUAACUCCGUG
This 435-nucleotide ribosomal RNA is filed under the name uncultured bacterium. Its description in RNAcentral is "partial 16S ribosomal RNA". It matches the Rfam family "Bacterial small subunit ribosomal RNA", at positions 28 to 507 of the family's 1533-position model. The record is from RNAcentral.